Molecule: ribosomal RNA, 403 nt
Filed under: uncultured bacterium
Lineage: Bacteria
Description: partial 16S ribosomal RNA
Rfam family: Bacterial small subunit ribosomal RNA
Source: RNAcentral
UGGGGAAUAUUGGACAAUGGGGGCAACCCUGAUCCAGCAAUGCCGCGUGUGUGAAGAAGGUCUUCGGAUUGUAAAGCACUUUCGACGGGGACGAUGAUGACGGUACCCGUAGAAGAAGCCCCGGCUAACUUCGUGCCAGCAGCCGCGGUAAUACGAAGGGGGCUAGCGUUGCUCGGAAUGACUGGGCGUAAAGGGCGUGUAGGCGGUUUACACAGUCAGAUGUGAAAUCCCCGGGCUUAACCUGGGAGCUGCAUUUGAUACGUGUAGACUAGAGUGUGAGAGAGGGUUGUGGAAUUCCCAGUGUAGAGGUGAAAUUCGUAGAUAUUGGGAAGAACACCGGUGGCGAAGGCGGCAACCUGGCUCAUGACUGACGCUGAGGCGCGAAAGCGUGGGGAGCAAACAG